Molecule: ribosomal RNA, 492 nt
Filed under: uncultured bacterium
Lineage: Bacteria
Description: partial 16S ribosomal RNA
Rfam family: Bacterial small subunit ribosomal RNA
Source: RNAcentral
AGCGAACGCUGGCGGUAGGCCUAACACAUGCAAGUCGAACGGCAGCACAGUAAGAGCUUGCGCUUACGGGUGGCGAGUGGCGGAAGGGUGAGGAAUACAUCGGAAUCUACUUUUUCGUGGGGGAUAACGUAGGGAAACUUACGCUAAUACCGCAUACGACCUACGGGUGAAAGCAGGGGAUCGUCGGACCUUGCGCGAGUGAAUGAGCCGAUGUCGGAUUAGCUUGUUGGCGGGGUAAAGGCCCACCAUGGCGACGAUCCGUAGCGGGUCUGAGAGGAUGGUCCCCCACACUGGAUCUGAGACACGGUCCAGACUCCUGCGGGAGGCAGCAGUGGGGAAUAUUGGACAAUGGGCGCGAGCCUGAUCCAGCCAUACCGCGUGGGUGAAGAAGGCCUUCGGGUUGUAAAGCCCUUUUGUUGGGAGAGAAAAGCAGCAGGUUAAUACCCCGCUGUUCUGACGGUACCCAAAGAAUAAGCACCGGCUAACUUCGUG